AUUGAACGCUGGCGGCAUGCCUUACACAUGCAAGUCGAACGGUAACAGGUCUUCGGAUGCUGACGAGUGGCGAACGGGUGAGUAAUACAUCGGAACGUGCCCGAUCGUGGGGGAUAACGAGGCGAAAGCUUUGCUAAUACCGCAUACGAUCUACGGAUGAAAGCGGGGGAUCUUCGGACCUCGCGCGGACGGAGCAGCCGAUGGCAGAUUAGGUAGUUGGUGGGAUAAAAGCUUACCAAGCCGACGAUCUGUAGCUGGUCUGAGAGGAUGAUCAGCCACACUGGGACUGAGACACGGCCCAGACUCCUACGGGAGGCAGCAGUGGGGAAUUUUGGACAAUGGGCGAAAGCCUGAUCCAGCCAUGCCGCGUGCAGGAUGAAGGCCUUCGGGUUGUAAACUGCUUUUGUACGGAACGAAAAGCCUCUUUCUAAUAAAGAGGGGUCAUGACGGUACCGUAAGAAUAAGCACCGGCUAACUACGUG
RNAcentral lists this ribosomal RNA (482 nucleotides) under uncultured bacterium. Its description in RNAcentral is "partial 16S ribosomal RNA". It matches the Rfam family "Bacterial small subunit ribosomal RNA", at positions 30 to 507 of the family's 1533-position model. The record is from RNAcentral.